GCAUCUAUGGCGGAAUUGGUAGACGCGCACGCUUGAGGGGCGUGUGAUUCAUAUCGUGCGAGUUCAAGUCUCGCUAGAUGCACCA
This 85-nucleotide transfer RNA is filed under the name Erysipelothrix sp. Its description in RNAcentral is "tRNA-Leu". It matches the Rfam family "tRNA". Rfam says of the family: Transfer RNA (tRNA) molecules are approximately 80 nucleotides in length. Their secondary structure includes four short double-helical elements and three loops (D, anti-codon, and T loops). Lineage: Bacteria; Bacillati; Bacillota; Erysipelotrichia; Erysipelotrichales; Erysipelotrichaceae. The record is from RNAcentral.